AUAUGGGUAGGGGAGCAUUGCCUGCGGGGCGAAUGGACAGCGUGAGCUAUCCUGGACUGCAGGGAAAAGCAAAUGUAGGCAUGAGUAACGAUAAUUACGCUGAGAAAGCGUAACGCCGAAAGACCCAGGUUUCCCCCGCCAUGUUAAUCAACGGGGGGUAAGGCGGGCCCUAACGGAGUUCCGAAAGGAUGAUCCGGAUGGACAGCUGGUGAAGAUUCCAGCCCUUCCUGCAUGAGCCACAUACUGACGCAUAUAACAGAUCUGCAGGUACUGACGGAAUAGUGCCUUAGAGCGGAUCCUUCGGGAGAAGCGAGCAGACGCGUGUUGUGCCAAGAAAAGGUAUAGAAGCAAUUGUGCAGGGACCCGUACCGCAAACCGACACAGGUGGUUGAGAUGAAUAAUCUAAGGCGCUCGGGAGAGCCACGGCCAAGGAACUCGGCAAAUUGACCCUGUAACUUCGGGAGAAGGGGGGCCGCAGCGAUGCGGCCGCAGAGAAAAGGCCCAGGCGACUGUUUAGCAAAAACACAGGGCUAUGCCAAAUCGCAAGAUGACGUAUAUGGCCUGACACCUGCCCGGUGCCGGAAGGUUAAGAGGGGAUGUCAGUCGCAAGAUGAAGCAUUGAAUCGAAGCCCCGGUAAACGGCGGCCGUAACUAUAACGGUCCUAAGGUAGCGAAAUUCCUUGUCGGGUAAGUUCCGACCUGCACGAAUGGUGUAACGAUCUGGGCACUGUCUCGGCCGUGGUCCCGGUGAAAUUGUAGUAACGGUGAAGAUGCCGUUUACCCGCCACGGGACGGAAAGACCCCGUGCACCUUCACUGCAGUUUUGCAUUGGUGACGGGUCACAGGUGUGUAGGAUAGGUGGGAGGCUAUGAAAUGGUGUCGCCAGGCAUCAUGGAGCCAACGUUGAAAUACCACCCUCCUGUGUCCUUUCGCCUAACCCCAGAUAAUUGGGGGACCGUGCAUGACGGGCGGUUUGACUGGGGUGGUCGCCUCCCAAAGUGUAACGGAGGCUUCCAAAGGUCGGUUCGGCACGCUUGGUAACCGUGCCGCGAGCGCAAUAGCACAAGCCGGCUUGACUGUGCGACCGACGGGUCGAACAGGUGGGAAACCAGGGUAUAGUGAUCCGGUAUUCCCUCAUGGACGGGAUAUCGCUCAAAGGAUAAAAGGUACGCCGGGGAUAACAGGCUGAUCUCCCCCAAGAGCUCACAUCGACGGGG
This 1217-nucleotide non-coding RNA is filed under the name Paludibacter sp. 47-17. RNAcentral's name for it is "bacterial LSU rRNA". It matches the Rfam family "Bacterial large subunit ribosomal RNA", at positions 1222 to 2513 of the family's 2925-position model. Lineage: Bacteria; Pseudomonadati; Bacteroidota; Bacteroidia; Bacteroidales; Paludibacteraceae. The record is from RNAcentral.